RNAcentral lists this transfer RNA (70 nucleotides) under Staphylinidae sp. BMNH 1274222. RNAcentral's name for it is "tRNA-Tyr". It matches the Rfam family "tRNA". Rfam says of the family: Transfer RNA (tRNA) molecules are approximately 80 nucleotides in length. Their secondary structure includes four short double-helical elements and three loops (D, anti-codon, and T loops). Further hydrogen bonds mediate the characteristic L-shaped molecular structure. tRNAs have two regions of fundamental functional importance: the anti-codon, which is responsible for specific mRNA codon recognition, and the 3' end, to which the tRNAs corresponding amino acid is attached (by aminoacyl-tRNA synthetases). tRNAs cope with the degeneracy of the genetic code in two manners: having more than one tRNA (with a specific anti-codon) for a particular amino acid; and 'wobble' base-pairing, i.e. permitting non-standard base-pairing at the 3rd anti-codon position. Lineage: Eukaryota; Metazoa; Arthropoda; Insecta; Coleoptera; Staphylinidae. The record is from RNAcentral.
GGUAAAAUGGCUGAGUUUAAGCGAUAAAUUGUAAAUUUAUUAACGAAUAUUAAAUUCUUUUACCACUUAG